RNAcentral lists this ribosomal RNA (215 nucleotides) under uncultured bacterium. RNAcentral describes it as "partial 16S ribosomal RNA". It matches the Rfam family "Bacterial small subunit ribosomal RNA", at positions 122 to 334 of the family's 1533-position model. The record is from RNAcentral.
CGAACCUGCCUGAGAGCGCGGAAUAACCCUGCGAAAGCAGAGCUAAUACCGCAUGUGGUUGUUAGAUGGCAUCUUUUAACAACUAAAGUCGCAAGACGCUCUCAGAUGGGCCCGCGGCCUAUUAGCUAGUUGGUGAGGUAACGGCCCACCAAGGCAUUGAUGGGUAGCUGGUCUGAGAGGACGGACAGCCACACUGGGACUGAGACACGGCCCAG